Molecule: ribosomal RNA, 253 nt
Filed under: uncultured bacterium
Lineage: Bacteria
Description: partial 16S ribosomal RNA
Rfam family: Bacterial small subunit ribosomal RNA
Source: RNAcentral
UACGGGGGGGGCAAGCGUUGUUCGGAAUUACUGGGCGUAAAGGGCUCGUAGGUGGUCAACUAAGUCGGACGUGAAAUCCCUCGGCUUAACCGGGGAACUGCGUCUGAUACUGGAUGGCUUGAGUUUGGGAGAGGGAUGCGGAAUUCCAGGUGUAGCGGUGAAAUGCGUAGAUAUCUGGAGGAACACCGGUGGCGAAGGCGGCAUCCUGGACCAACACUGACGCUGAGGAGCGAAAGCCAGGGGAGCAAACGGG